This 226-nucleotide long non-coding RNA is filed under the name Ananas comosus (pineapple). RNAcentral describes it as "long non-coding RNA (ACOM_LNC027558)". Lineage: Eukaryota; Viridiplantae; Streptophyta; Magnoliopsida; Poales; Bromeliaceae. The record is from RNAcentral.
GUAUCUUAUAUUUAUAAUUCAUAAGAGUUAUCGACCAUUCCUAUAACAAAUAGCAAAAGGUUUGGUGGUUGGUACCCAAGACCCAGGUUCGAAUCCUACUUGAUUCACAUUUUCAGCGAAGUUUAUUUCUAAAUGAAAAAAAAGAAGCAGGUGACGUACUAUCUAUUUCUCAAAAAAAAAAGAAAAGAAAAAAGAAGAUAAUUUAUAGGAGUUGGACUACUAAAGA